GGGGGAUAUUGCACAAUGGGGGAAACCCUGAUGCAGCGACGCCGCGUGGAGGAAGAAGGUUUUCGGAUUGUAAACUCCUGUCGUUAGGGACGAUAAUGACGGUACCUAACAAGAAAGCACCGGCUAACUACGUGCCAGCAGCCGCGGUAAAACGUAGGGUGCAAGCGUUGUCCGGAAUUACUGGGUGUAAAGGGAGCGCAGGCGGACCGGCAAGUUGGAAGUGAAAACUAUGGGCUCAACCCAUAAAUUGCUUUCAAAACUGCUGGCCUUGAGUAGUGCAGAGGUAGGUGGAAUUCCCGGUGUAGCGGUGGAAUGCGUAGAUAUCGGGAGGAACACCAGUGGCGAAGGCGACCUACUGGGCACCAACUGACGCUGAGGCUCGAAAGCAUGGGUAGCAAACAGGAUUAGAUACCCUGGUAGUCCAUGCCGUAAACGAUGAUUACUAGGUGUUGGAGGAUUGACCCCUUCAGUGCCGCAGUUAACACAAUAAGUAAUCCACCUGGGGAGUACGACCGCAAGGUUGAAACUCAAAGGAAUUGACGGGGGCCCGCACAAGCAGUGGAGUAUGUGGUUUAAUUCGAAGCAACGCGAAGAACCUUACCAGGUCUUGACAUCCGAUGCAUAGUGCAGAGAUGCAUGAAGUCCUUCGGGACAUCGAGACAGGUGGUGCAUGGUUGUCGUCAGCUCGUGUCGUGAGAUGUUGGGUUAAGUCCCGCAACGAGCGCAACCCUUAUUGCCAGUUACUACGCAAGAGGACUCUGGCGAGACUGCCGUUGACAAAACGAAGGAAGGUGGGGAUGACGUCAAAUCAUCAUGCCCUUUAUGACCUGGGCUACACACGUACUACAAUGGCGUUUAACAAAGAGAAGCAAGACCGCGAGGUGGAGCAAAACUCAAAAACAACGUCCCAGUUCGGACUGCAGGCUGCAACUCGCCUGCACGAAGUCGGAAUUGCUAGUAAUCGUGGAUCAGCAUGCCACGGUGAAUACGUUCCCG
RNAcentral lists this ribosomal RNA (996 nucleotides) under uncultured bacterium. RNAcentral describes it as "bacterial SSU rRNA". It matches the Rfam family "Bacterial small subunit ribosomal RNA", at positions 356 to 1376 of the family's 1533-position model. The record is from RNAcentral.